AUAAUUUAUACGAUAAUUUUAUUUCAUUAAAAAUUUCCUUUUUUUUAAACCGUAUUUAUGACGUCACUCAGCAGCUCAUCCAUAGAUUUCAACUAAAUCCAAUACAUUGUAGAUAGGAGAACGCACUCCAAACUUAAAGAAUUACUCCAAUUUGAAUACUUAAAAUAAAGUAGGGAAAAAAAAAAAAAUUCACAGCUUUGAAGUAAUUUUUCACACAAUCAUUGGGUCUCAGGGCCAUUAAAUUCACACAAUCAUUGGGACUUUUAAAAUCUGUCCCAAUUAUUGGGUCUCAGAGACUUUAAAUUCACACAAGCAUUGUGUCCCAGAGACGUUUAAUCUGUCCCAAUCAUUUGGGGGCUUAAUGAGAUUGAAUCUCACACAAUAAUUUGGGCCUUAAAGAUAUAACUAAUAAAGUGCAAGUAUAACAAAGUAUUUCUAAACAGCUCUGCAAGAAGGAGAAGAACAAAUAUAUUCAUUAAACAAAGAGCUGUUUUAAUUUUAAAUACAAAAUACCCUUCAUUCACAUUCACAAGUCAGACAAGGUGGCAAUUUUUAAACACUGUAAUAAAAACAUAAUCGCAGUCAAGUCACAAAAGCCAAAUUAAAUUGCAGUCAUUUCAUGUUUUAAAAAAAUUGCAUCUGAAUAACUUGGAAGUUUGUUUUGAUAGUUUGCAGGAAAUAAAAAAAAUUCAACCAGAACAAACACAAGUGGGCCAAUUAAUGCAAUGAGACUGCGUUAUUUAGACCUCUGACUCUCAACAGGUUCAAACAAGAUAUAAUUAAAACUUCAAAACAAAUGAACAGCUUUUGAUUGGUCAACAUAAUGUAGCAGUUAUUAAAAAUUGUCAAAUUUUAAUUCAAGAAGUAAGUAUUCACGGUUUAAUGAAGAUAAAUGAACAUACUUUUGUUAGUAUUAAAUAAAAAAUCAGUGAUAUAAAAAUGGGCUUUUCAAAGUAAUUUUGGGUAUUGGGUUACCCCCCCCCCCCCCCCCC
Non-coding RNA from Biomphalaria pfeifferi, 992 nucleotides. Lineage: Eukaryota; Metazoa; Mollusca; Gastropoda; Planorbidae. The record is from the annotation of a GenBank genome assembly.